CACCGCGGUUAUACGAAAGGCUCAAGUUGAUAAUCUUCGGCGUAAAGCGUGGUUAAAAGACCUAUUUAAACUAAGGCUGAACUCCCCCAAAGCCGUCAUACGCUCCCGGGAGCAUGAAACCCGACCACGAAGGUGGCCUUAAACCCUCUUGACCCCACGAAAGCUGUGAAA
RNAcentral lists this ribosomal RNA (171 nucleotides) under Poecilia sphenops (Mexican molly). RNAcentral describes it as "partial 12S ribosomal RNA". The record is from RNAcentral. Lineage: Eukaryota; Metazoa; Chordata; Actinopteri; Cyprinodontiformes; Poeciliidae.